This 253-nucleotide ribosomal RNA is filed under the name uncultured bacterium. RNAcentral describes it as "partial 16S ribosomal RNA". It matches the Rfam family "Bacterial small subunit ribosomal RNA", at positions 524 to 776 of the family's 1533-position model. The record is from RNAcentral.
UACGGGGGGGGCAAGCGUUGUUCGGAAUUACUGGGCGUAAAGGGCGCGUAGGCGGCUACGCACGUCCGUUGUGAAAUCGCUCGGCUCAACUGGGCGGGGUCAGCGGAUACGGUGUAGCUGGAGCAAGCUAGGGGGCAAUGGAAUUCCCGGUGUAGUGGUGGAAUGCGUAGAUAUCAGGAGGAACACCGGUGGCGAAGGCGGGUCUCUGGGCAACAACUGACGCUGAGGAGCGAAAGCGUGGGGAGCGAACAGG